Molecule: long non-coding RNA, 1287 nt
Filed under: Cottoperca gobio
Lineage: Eukaryota; Metazoa; Chordata; Actinopteri; Perciformes; Bovichtidae
Description: lncRNA (ENSCGOG00000019875.1)
Source: RNAcentral
GGCAACGUGGUGCUGAUAGUUUUCUCAGGUGAUUGUAAGAUAAAAAGGCCAGUAUAAUCAAACACCUCACUGAACAGAAUAAAAUGAUUAAUAUUUUUUCUUUUUCUUUAGAUUCUCUGAAUGGUCCUUUUUCCUCUGCUUCUGAUAAGUCCGAAUCAAGCUUCAGCUCAAGCGCAUCAAUUGCGAAUGUCGAUGAGGUUCCGAGCAAGAGACAAAGAAUCGAGGAUACACUUGAUGCAGUGUCUACUAACGCUUUCUCUAGAAAAGCUGUUUAUCAUUAUGUUUUGCGUUAUCAUGUUUUCUUUAUUAGUUGAUUGAAGCUGUGCUGACUACAAUACAAUAGAAAUGAUUGAAAAUCAUAAGUGUAUUUUUUAUAUUGUUUCAUUUGUGCCAAAUAACUGCAUGCCCAUUGUGCACAUUUUGAUUAGGAAUUUAAUAUCUCCUCUCGGGCACAUCCCCACUAAAGCUAUAAGAGAAGAGUAUGCUCUUGGGAUAGUGACGCCGUUCCCUUCCCUCAAGGAUCCAUAUACCAAGAAAGGCUAUGUAAUAUUCCUUAUUAUUGUUUGUAUAUUGUUUGUAUGAAAGUUGCAUAUCAAACGUGCAUAUUAUGACACAACGGCGUUUGUAUGACAUUGAAAUUUGAGUUCUUUAAAGUAUGACCAAAAUAAUUUUUUGUUUUUUUUUCAGGAACAAUUCCAUGAUGCUACAAGCAGCACAGGAUACAUUUCUUGGCGUCUGAAAGCAAUCCAACGAAAGAUUUGUCGAGGAUCUGCACCAUCACCAAAUAGCCCUAUGGUCACUUCUCCCAAAGGUCCAACGAGCUGUUAAUGUAGAAAGACAGCUGGAUGGGGAUGCUUGCCAAGAGGACAUGUCUUUGCUCAACCAUACCACAGACAAUUCCCUGAUUUUUCAGAAAAUGAGAGAAACCUUUCAGCAUCGUCAGAAGCUUGUUAAUGACCCAAGCAGAGGUGUUGAUAUCCUCUCCACCUUCCCAAGAUCCCUGGAUACCAAAGGAUUGGUGGAUCAAGACUUCACCCUCCUAUUUGAUCAUGAAACAUCCUCCAGGCUCCUUCAGAAAUGGGAUGUGUUCUUCAGUCCAAAUGUCAUAAAAGAGGCUAAGUGGCUUACUUCAACACGCAGAGUUGUGUCGCUUGUUGCAGUCAGCAGAGAGUCCCACAGGAAGUGAUCUUGAUGAGACGACAAGUGAGUUGUAUUUGUUUAGCUUGUUUAAAGCACUUGCCAUAUCUCCAAAAAUACUUUUAGUCUUUCAUAAGGUAAUUAUAUUAU